This 484-nucleotide ribosomal RNA is filed under the name uncultured bacterium. RNAcentral's name for it is "partial 16S ribosomal RNA". It matches the Rfam family "Bacterial small subunit ribosomal RNA", at positions 30 to 507 of the family's 1533-position model. The record is from RNAcentral.
AUUGAACGCUGGCGGCAGGCCUAACACAUGCAAGUCGAGCGGUUGAAGGGCGCUUGCUCCUGGAUUCAGCGGCGGACGGGUGAGUAAUGCCUAAGACUCUGCCUGGUAGUGGGGGAUAACGUCCGGACACGGGCGCUAAUACCGCAUACGUCCUGAGGGUGAAAGUGUGGGAUCUUCGGACUUCCCGCUAUCAGAUGAGCCUAGGUCGGAUUAGCUAGUUGGUGGGGUAAAGGCCUACCAAGGCGACGAUCCGUAACUGGUCGGAGUGGAUGAUCAGUCACAAUGGAACUGAGACACGGUCCAGACGACUACGGGAGGCAGCAGUGGGGAAUAUUGGACAAUGGGCGAAAGCCUGAUCCAGCCAUGCCGCGUGUGUGAAGAAGGUCUUCGGAUGGUAAAGCACUUUAAGUUGGGAGGAAGGGCAGUAAGUUAAUAUCUGGCUGUUUUGACGGUACCAACAGAAUAAGCGCCGGCUAACUUCGUG